UACGUAGGAUGCAAGCGUUGUCCGGAAUUACUGGGCGUAAAGGGCGAGCAGGUGGCACUACAAGUCUGAUGUAAAAUCUCCCGGCUUAACUGGGAGGGGCCAUUGGAAACUGUAGAGCUGGAGUGCAGGAGAGGCUAACGGAAUUCCCGGUGUAGUGGUGAAAUGCGCAGAUAUCAGGAAGAACACCCGUGGCGAAGGCGGCUCUCUGGGACGGUACUGACGCUGAGACGCGAAAGCGUGGGGAGCGAACAGG
Molecule: ribosomal RNA, 253 nt
Filed under: uncultured bacterium
Lineage: Bacteria
Description: partial 16S ribosomal RNA
Rfam family: Bacterial small subunit ribosomal RNA
Source: RNAcentral